GAUGAACGCUGGCGGCGUGCUUAACACAUGCAAGUCGAACGGGAAACCUUUUAUUGAAGCUUCGGCAGAUUUAGCUGGCUUCUAGUGGCGGACGGGUGAGUAACGCGUGGGUAACCUGCACUAUACAGGGGGAUAACAACCAGAAAUGGUUGCUAAUACCGCAUAAGCGCACAGGGCCGCAUGGUCCGGUGUGAAAAACUCCGGUGGUUUAGGAUGGACCCGCGUUGGAUUAGCCAGUUGGCAGGGUAACGGCCUACCAAAGCGACGAUCAAUAGCCGGCCUGAGAGGGUGAACGGCCACAUUGGGACUGAGACACGGCCCAGACUCCUACGGGAGGCAGCAGUGGGGAAUAUUGCACAAUGGGGGAAACCCUGAUGCAGCGACGCCGCGUGAAGGAAGAAGUAUCUCGGGAUGUAAACUUCUAUCAGCAGGGAAGAUAGUGACGGUACCUGACGAAGAAGCCCCGGCUAACUACGUG
This 478-nucleotide ribosomal RNA is filed under the name uncultured bacterium. Its description in RNAcentral is "partial 16S ribosomal RNA". It matches the Rfam family "Bacterial small subunit ribosomal RNA", at positions 28 to 507 of the family's 1533-position model. The record is from RNAcentral.